AGUGAACGCUGGCGGUAGGCCUAACACAUGCAAGUCGAACGGCAGCACGGUAAGAGCUUGCUCUUACGGGUGGCGAGUGGCGGACGGGUGAGGAAUACAUCGGAAUCUACUUUUUCGUGGGGGAUAACGUAGGGAAACUUACGCUAAUACCGCAUACGACCUACGGGUGAAAGCAGGGGAUCUUCGGACCUUGCGCGAUUGAAUGAGCCGAUGUCGGAUUAGCUAGUUGGCGGGGUAAAGGCCCACCAAGGCGACGAUCCGUAGCUGGUCUGAGAGGAUGAUCAGCCAGACUGGAACUGAGACAGGGUCCAGACUCCUACGGGAGGAAGCAGUGGGGAAUAUUGGACAAUGGGGGCAAGCCUGAUCCAGCCAUACCGCGUGGGUGAAGAAGGCCUUCUGGUUGUAAAGCCCUUUUGUUGGGAAAGAAAAGCAGCAGGUUAAUACCCCGCUGUUCUGACGGUACCCAAAGAAUAAGCACCGGCUAACUUCGUG
RNAcentral lists this ribosomal RNA (492 nucleotides) under uncultured bacterium. RNAcentral describes it as "partial 16S ribosomal RNA". It matches the Rfam family "Bacterial small subunit ribosomal RNA", at positions 29 to 507 of the family's 1533-position model. The record is from RNAcentral.